AACGGGUGGUAAUGCCGGAUGCUCCGACUCCUCGCAUGGGGUGUCGGGAAAGAUUUCAUCGGUAUGGGAUGGGGUCGCGUCCUAUCAGGUAGUCGGCGGGGUAACGGCCCACCGAGCCUACGACGGGUAGCCGGCCUGAGAGGGCGACCGGCCACAUUGGGACUGAGAUACGGCCCAGACUCCUACGGGAGGCAGCAGUGGGGAAUAUUGCACAAUGGGCGCAAGCCUGAUGCAGCGACGCCGCGUGCGGGAUGACGGCCUUCGGGUUGUAAACCGCUUUUGAUCGGGAGCAAGCCUUCGGGUGAGUGUACCUUUCGAAUAAGCACCGGCUAACUACGUGCCAGCAGCCGCGGUAAUACGUAGGGUGCAAGCGUUAUCCGGAAUUAUUGGGCGUAAAGGGCUCGUAGGCGGUUCGUCGCGUCCGGUGUGAAAGUCCAUCGCUUAACGGUGGAUCUGCGCCGGGUACGGGCGGGCUGGAGUGCGGUAGGGGAGACUGGAAUUCCCGGUGUAACGGUGGAAUGUGUAGAUAUCGAAAA
Molecule: ribosomal RNA, 536 nt
Filed under: Bifidobacterium pseudocatenulatum
Lineage: Bacteria; Bacillati; Actinomycetota; Actinomycetes; Bifidobacteriales; Bifidobacteriaceae
Description: bacterial SSU rRNA
Rfam family: Bacterial small subunit ribosomal RNA
Source: RNAcentral